This 596-nucleotide ribosomal RNA is filed under the name uncultured bacterium. RNAcentral describes it as "bacterial SSU rRNA". It matches the Rfam family "Bacterial small subunit ribosomal RNA", at positions 112 to 704 of the family's 1533-position model. The record is from RNAcentral.
AAUGCCUAGGAAUCUGCCUGGUAGUGGGGGAUAACGUUCGGAAACGGACGCUAAUACCGCAUACGUCCUACGGGAGAAAGCAGGGGACCUUCGGGCCUUGCGCUAUCAGAUGAGCCUAGGUCGGAUUAGCUAGUUGGUGAGGUAAUGGCUCACCAAGGCGACGAUCCGUAACUGGUCUGAGAGGAUGAUCAGUCACACUGGAACUGAGACACGGUCCAGACUCCUACGGGAGGCAGCAGUGGGGAAUAUUGGACAAUGGGCGAAAGCCUGAUCCAGCCAUGCCGCGUGUGUGAAGAAGGUCUUCGGAUUGUAAAGCACUUUAAGUUGGGAGGAAGGGUUGUAGAUUAAUACUCUGCAAUUUUGACGUUACCGACAGAAUAAGCACCGGCUAACUCUGUGCCAGCAGCCGCGGUAAUACAGAGGGUGCAAGCGUUAAUCGGAAUUACUGGGCGUAAAGCGAGCGUAGGUGGUUUGUUAAGUUGGAUGUGAAAUCCCCGGGCUCAACCUGGGAACUGCAUUCAAAACUGACUGACUAGAGUAUGGUAGAGGGUGGUGGAAUUUCCUGUGUAGCGGUGAAAUGCGUAGAUAUAGGAAGG